Molecule: long non-coding RNA, 2159 nt
Organism: Phragmites australis (common reed)
Lineage: Eukaryota; Viridiplantae; Streptophyta; Magnoliopsida; Poales; Poaceae
Exons: 5
Source: RefSeq, a predicted model, not a curated record
UUGUUUGGAAAGUCCAACCCCACCGGAUCCCGAUCCAUUCCACUGGGACGUUCUGGACCGUGCUUUUGCUCCCUUGUUAAAUCCAUGCGGUCUUUUGGAUAUCGAGGAGGCUGAAAUUUCCACAUGCUAUUUUAACCCUAUCCAGGUCAAUCCAUAUGGAGAGAAAAAUACUUCUCCUAACUCGUGACAUUCUCUUCCCGUUCCCUGUCCGCUUACUUGACUCGAUCUCCCUCUUGCUCGUCCUCAAUUGAAGCAGAGGUGAGAACUAGGUGGCUAGGGUUUCGAUGAUGGUGGCCGUGUCCUUCCACUGCCGGCGCACGUGAGCCCCUCUUCGUCGUGGACGCUCGUGCCUCCUCACGUCGACAGCGAACCAGACGAUGCCCAAGAUCUCUCUGUCGGACCUCCCACACUUGUGCAUCCCCACGCCAGCGACGAACCAAACUGUCCCCAAGGUCUCCUCUCCACGCCGACCUCCCCAUGCUCGUGCCUCCCCAUGCCGACCUCGCCUCCACGUCGACCUCGCGGGUGAGAGCCAAGAGCAAAAGUUGUCGGUAUCAUUUUGUGAGAUGCAUCAUUAAGGCUUAAAGCUAUCUGUCUAUCAUUUAGGGCCAACAAAGGACAAAGUGUAGCCAUGUCUAAAGAAGGGUAAAGAGCUUCCUGGAACUUCACUUAUGAGAAAGGACUUGUUGAUCUACUCCAUGAGCACAAUCAUGAAAUGUUCAGGGGCCAGAAUGGUUGGGUAACAGAAGGUUGGAGAAGCAUUGUCAAGAAAUUCAAUGAAAAGUUUCCAUCAGCUGAGUUUACAAAAAGCUAGAUACAAGAAAAGGAGAAGGAACUCAAAGGAAGCUAUAAGGCAAUUCAUGAUGCACGGAAGCAAAGUGGUAUAGGUUGGAAUGCUUUUAUGUGCAUGAUCAAUGCUGAACCACAUAUCUGGGAUAAACUUAUUGUUGACUUUUCAAAGGUGAGGAAAUUUUGCACAAAACCCUUCCCUCUGUAUGACAGCUUGGCACAAUUGUAUGAAGUUAACUUAGGUGCAUUUGUCCACUAUGAAACAAGGAGCAUAUAUUGCUACAGGUGAUAUGAAUUUCACAUCAACUGAGCCAACUGAGUAGCAGCUGCCACCACCAACAGAACAUGUCAACCUAGAUGAUCCUGAUGUUGGCUUGAACCCUUUCUUUGCAAAUAUGGAUGUGCAAAGGGCAUCAAGUGAUACCAUGGAUGUCGAUGAAGUAGAAAAUACCACUUCAUCUUGUUUUGGACAGAAAGGAAGAUGGCCAUGGAAAAAAGAGAAAGCAAAAUCAAGUUGCCGGUGCUCUACAGGACUAUGUCGACUUCAGGAAGAAGCAAACUAAAAAAUUUAUGGAUGAACUUAAUUAAAUAACAAAGCCAAAAGAUGACUAUUCCAUCAAGAACUAUCUUGCUCUUCUAGAAUCAGUUGAAGAACUUUCAGAUGAGGAAAAGGCAAUGGCAACAAGUAUCUUCAAGUGUGAGCUGAAUAGAGAAAUUUUCAUCAAUUUCAAGAACCCAAGAGUUCGUCUACUGUGGGUUAAGGGAGAAAUUGUUCCCAAGGUAUGCAAUCUGAAAACUUAGACUAUUAUUAAUGUUCUCACAAAACUUAGACUUCUUGGAUUUGGACAUGUAUACAUAUUCUUGAGCUAUGAGCUGUGCAGAAACAUCUCAUGUGCUUAACCACUUAAGAUAGUUUUAAUUGUGAGUUCACUUCACAAUUUGAUGAACCAAAAUGGCAAGUUCAUUACCAGCUUUACAUGUCAUGGUGAGAGCAACAGUCUCAGCUGAAUUGUGAUACUUGAUGGGAUUCAGAGGUAGCCUGACUGAACUGUUCUUCAAGGAUGUGUCUAUGACUGUGAUGCAUCUUUAUCAUCCUUUUGUUGCUGAAAAGAAAGGGAUCCUAAUUAUAGCUGUGAAGAAAGGGGGCAACUGAUGAAUCAUGACACCCACAAAUGGGUGUGCUGUUUGCACAAGGAGUGGAGAUAGGGAUUGUGUGGGGAAGAAGAAAGUGCUUCUUUUCUGAAUUGUAACUCAUCUUAGUAGUAUACUCAUACUAGUAUUAGAUUGCUUGAUUGAAAUGUUGCAUGCUUCUUUUCUGAAGUGUCUACUCAUACUAGUAUUAGAUUCAUAACUGUCAUCGUCUAUUUCGA